UAUUCUUGCCCUUUCCUUGGAUAUCAAGGCUUUAAUUCCAUAAUAAAGAUAAGGAGGUGGGUUGCAGUUACAUUUCUGUUCCCUUUUUACAGUAGCCGCCUUCUCUUUCAGGGUUUAGGAUCUCUGCAGUUGCUCCUGUUAGCACAUCCAAGAUUCUGUGAAUCAUCUAACCAUGAGUUACCAAAGAGAGAAACAUACAGUACAUUAUGAAGAGUCACCUUAAGGUAUCUCCUAUAUAGUUACUACAUGGUAUGAAAAAAGAAUUGUGGUAAACAGACACAUUGUGGUUUGUGGGUGCAGAAGUGUGGUUGUAGAGAAAAGCCAUCUGAUUUCCAAGCCACAAAGUUGGACCUCAAUCAGAAAGGAGAGAACACUCUUCUCAC
Molecule: long non-coding RNA, 383 nt
Filed under: Oryctolagus cuniculus (rabbit)
Lineage: Eukaryota; Metazoa; Chordata; Mammalia; Lagomorpha; Leporidae
Description: lncRNA (ENSOCUG00000032934.1)
Source: RNAcentral